UCGCUUUAUUUUUUUUAAAAGAAAAACAAUUAACUGGACACACGUGUUUCUCCUUCCACUCUCUUACAUAUUUUUUUUAAGACCCCUCCAUUUUCUUCUUCCUUCUUUCACGUUAGAGAAAUUCACUCAUUUCCAGAACUGAGUGUUUAGAAGACUGGCUGAGAAACGAGCUAGUGGAGUUGGGUUGGAAUUUUUAAAUUCCUGCACGGUCUGACAAUUACGUACAUCUGUCUCCAAACAAUAAAAGUGUUUGGAACGCACAACGAUGCGAAGCAAUGGAAGGCGCACGAAGCAGCGGGCACCAGACAGCUGCUGUGCGCCGUGUCACAAAGGCUGCCGUGCAGCGCGCGAGCUGGGAGUCACAACCCCAGGCUCGCUUCGGCUUCAAAGGCAUCGGAUGCCAAAGCAAGCCGGCUCCGGACACCGCGACCACCGAGGCGGUGGGGGUGCACGCUCCAGGCGCUCCUCGGAGGCCGAGGCUGGAAAGAAAUUUCUACCUACCCAUCAUCAGGUAUGAUACUGGAUCCCUGCUCCCAUCACUCAUGGCCACUCUAAGUCAUAGGGGGAGACAAUAAGGAGAUCGGCAGACCCACCACACCCACACCAAAAGGGAGAGAAGAUGUCUGCAAAGAAUGAAGGUGGGCAAACAACUUGCUUACUUCACAGUGGAUGAAUGAACAAAAGCAAAGGAUAGCUACUGUGCACCUCAACCUACAAGGUUGCAUUCUGUAGUAAAGUAAAAGAGUGAAGCUCUCAAACCUCCUGUUGCCUCUGUUACAAUUUUUUGUGCAUUUGAAAAAUGAUCUAAUGGAGUGGGAACUGAGAAUAAAUGAAGCACAAUUGUAUUUAGUGUUGUUUUGGGAUGCUGAUGAUAGGUCUGUUGGUGAUGCUGGAGACAGAGCUAUGAAGAAGUGAGAGGCUACAGAAAACUGUGGUAGAACAGGAGCUGUAGCAAAGGUAGUACAAUCAAAGGCAGGGUAAGGGACAAGGCAUCAGCCUACUAGAAGAGUAUCAGUAAAGCAAGAACAGAAGAGAGAGGAAAAGAGAAAA
RNAcentral lists this long non-coding RNA (1050 nucleotides) under Chinchilla lanigera (long-tailed chinchilla). RNAcentral describes it as "lncRNA (ENSCLAG00000027537.1)". Lineage: Eukaryota; Metazoa; Chordata; Mammalia; Rodentia; Chinchillidae. The record is from RNAcentral.